Molecule: non-coding RNA, 164 nt
Organism: Pelobates cultripes (western spadefoot toad)
Lineage: Eukaryota; Metazoa; Chordata; Amphibia; Anura; Pelobatidae
Source: the annotation of a GenBank genome assembly
GGUCAGCUGACACAUCCCUGCCAAUCUCCGGCAGACCCUCCCUCCCAGACCCUCCUACUUCCUGGACAGCAUCCAUGUUGAAGGCAGCUUCAACAUGGAUGCUGUCCAGGAGGUGGGAGGGUCUGGGAGGGAGGGUCUGCCGGAAGGCAGCUUCAACAUGGAUG